This 73-nucleotide transfer RNA is filed under the name Lecanora strobilina. RNAcentral's name for it is "tRNA-Pro". The record is from RNAcentral. Lineage: Eukaryota; Fungi; Ascomycota; Lecanoromycetes; Lecanorales; Lecanoraceae.
CGGGCCAGAGCUGGGUUGGUUAGGCGUCUCAUUUGGGUUGAGAAUUAGUUAUGUUCGAAUCAUAAUGACCCGA